AACCCAUGGUGAGGGCACCUUCUUAAUAAGUCCUUGUAUCUCUCCCAUGCACGUAGAGGGUUUUUAAAUCCAUCUGCACAAAAGAAGAGAUAUCAUUACGUAAUUU
This is a small nucleolar RNA of Gossypium arboreum, 106 nucleotides long. It matches the Rfam family "Plant small nucleolar RNA R71". Rfam says of the family: R71 is a member of the C/D box family of snoRNAs containing the C (UGAUGA) and D (CUGA) box motifs. Multiple nearly identical copies of this snoRNA have been identified in Arabidopsis, and it is thought to function as a 2'-O-ribose methylation guide for 18S ribosomal RNA. The record is from Rfam. Lineage: Eukaryota; Viridiplantae; Streptophyta; Magnoliopsida; Malvales; Malvaceae.